GCAGAAGUGAUGGAAUUGGCAGACAUGCAGGAUUUAGGUUCCUGUGCCGCAAGGCGUGUGGGUUCAAGUCCCAUCUUCUGCA
RNAcentral lists this transfer RNA (82 nucleotides) under Butyrivibrio sp. INlla16. RNAcentral's name for it is "tRNA_Leu_TAG". It matches the Rfam family "tRNA". Rfam says of the family: Transfer RNA (tRNA) molecules are approximately 80 nucleotides in length. Their secondary structure includes four short double-helical elements and three loops (D, anti-codon, and T loops). Further hydrogen bonds mediate the characteristic L-shaped molecular structure. tRNAs have two regions of fundamental functional importance: the anti-codon, which is responsible for specific mRNA codon recognition, and the 3' end, to which the tRNAs corresponding amino acid is attached (by aminoacyl-tRNA synthetases). tRNAs cope with the degeneracy of the genetic code in two manners: having more than one tRNA (with a specific anti-codon) for a particular amino acid; and 'wobble' base-pairing, i.e. permitting non-standard base-pairing at the 3rd anti-codon position. RNAcentral also lists the same sequence under 2 other names. The record is from RNAcentral. Lineage: Bacteria; Bacillati; Bacillota; Clostridia; Lachnospirales; Lachnospiraceae.